CAGUCGAACGGAUCUGUAUUGAAACCUAGUGAUAUACAGGUUAGUGGCGGACGGGUGAGUAACGCGUGGGUAACCUGCCUUACACUGGGGGAUAACACUUAGAAAUAGGUGCUAAUACCGCAUAAGCGCACGAGGCCGCAUGGAUUUGUGUGAAAAACUCCGGUGGUGUAAGAUGGACCCGCGUCUGAUUAGCUUGUUGGCGGGGUAACGGCCCACCAAGGCAACGAUCAGUAGCCGGCCUGAGAGGGUGAACGGCCACAUUGGGACUGAGACACGGCCCAAACUCCUACGGGAGGCAGCAGUGGGGAAUAUUGCACAGUGGGGGAAACCCUGAUGCAGCGACGCCGCGUGAGUGAAGAAGUAAUUCGUUAUGUAAAGCUCUAUCAGCAGGGAAGAAAAUGACGGUACCUGAGUAAGAAGCCCCGGCUAACUACGUGCCAGCAGCCGCGGUAAUACGUAGGGGGCAAGCGUUAUCCGGAUUUACUGGGUGUAAAGGGAGCGUAGACGGCAGCGCAAGUCUGGAGUGAAAUGCCGGGGCCCAACCCCCGGACUGCUCUGGGAACUGUCUAGCUAGAGUGCAGGAGGGGUAAGUGGAAUUCCUAGUGUAGCGGUGAAAUGCGUAGAUAUUAGGAGGAACACCAGUGGCGAAGGCGGCUUACUGGACUGUAACUGACGUUGAGGCUCGAAAGCGUGGGGAGCAAACAGGAUU
This 709-nucleotide ribosomal RNA is filed under the name uncultured bacterium. RNAcentral's name for it is "bacterial SSU rRNA". It matches the Rfam family "Bacterial small subunit ribosomal RNA", at positions 59 to 779 of the family's 1533-position model. The record is from RNAcentral.